CUAUGCUAUCGGGGUGAGACUAAGCCAUGCAAGCCGAACGUUUCUAGGCCAUGUUGGAAACGUGGCGUACGGCUCAGUAAAACAUGGUUAACCCACCCUUAAGAUGGAGAUAACCCCGGGAAACUGGGGUUAAUACCCAAUAGUUGAGGAUGCCUGGAACCGGCUCCUCAUCGAAAUGGUGUCGGAAACACGCCUUCUGAUACCGCUUAAGGAUGGGACCAUGCCCGAUCAGGCUGUUGGUGAGGUAACGGCUUACCAUACCCAUAACCGGUACGGGCCGUGAGAGCGGGAGCCCGGAGAUGGACCCUGAGACAAGGGUCCAGGCCCUACGGGGCGCAGCAGGCGCGAAACCUCCGCAAUGUGUGAAAGCAUGACGGGGUUACCCCGAGUGUCAUCUGCUGAGGAUGGCUUUUCUCCAGUUUAACUAGCUGGAGGAAUAAGAGGAGGGCAAGUCUGGUGUCAGCCGCCGCGGUAAUACCAGCUCCUCGAGUGGUAAGGGCGAUUAUUGGGCCUAAAACGUCCGUAGCCGGCCUGACAAGUUUCCCGUUAAAUAUGGCGAUCCAAUCGUCGGACUGCGGUAAAUACUGUUAGGCUAGGGGGCGGAAGAGGUCGGUGUACUCUUAGGGUAGGGGUGAAAUCCGAUAAUCCUAAGAGGACCACCAGUGGCGAAGGCGGCCGGCCAGAACGCGCUCGACGGUGAGGGACGAAAGCUGGGGGAGCGAACCGGAUUAGAUACCUGGGUAGUCCCAGCCGUAAACGAUGCGGACUAAGUGUCGGAAUGGUCUUAGAACCAUUCCGGUGCUGCAGGGAAGCCGUUAAGUCCGCUGCCUGGGGAGUACGGCCGUAAGGCUGAAGCUUA
This 859-nucleotide ribosomal RNA is filed under the name uncultured archaeon. RNAcentral's name for it is "bacterial SSU rRNA". It matches the Rfam family "Archaeal small subunit ribosomal RNA", at positions 24 to 858 of the family's 1478-position model. The record is from RNAcentral.